UGGAAGGUAGUUUGGUUAAUGUGAUGUGGUGGUGAUGGUUGUAGGUUUUAAUAGUUGGUGAUAGUGAUUCAAUGUAUGAAGGAGAAUGUGUAUGUUAUUAAUGGUGAUCAAUGGUGUUGGUGAAUAUGAAAGAUGAAUGUGAUGGUGUGGUAUUUUGUUAAUAUGGUUUGAGGAUGGUCAAAACACGUGAGAGGGAGAGAGCUUUUUUUAAAUGGCUUUUUUUCCUUAAUUUUUU
Molecule: long non-coding RNA, 235 nt
Filed under: Lathyrus oleraceus (garden pea)
Lineage: Eukaryota; Viridiplantae; Streptophyta; Magnoliopsida; Fabales; Fabaceae
Description: Pisum sativum (pea) long non-coding RNA (PSAT_LNC038423)
Source: RNAcentral